GUGGGGAAUAUUGGACAAUGGGCGAAAGCCUGAUCCAGCCAUGUCGCGUGAGUGAUGAAGGCCUUAGGGUUGUAAAGCUCUUUCAGUAGGGAAGAUAAUGACGGUACCUAUAGAAGAAGCCCCGGCUAACUUCGUGCCAGCAGCCGCGGUAAUACGAAGGGGGCUAGCGUUGUUCGGAUUUACUGGGCGUAAAGCGCACGUAGGCGGAUUGGUCAGUUAGAGGUGAAAUCCUGGAGCUCAACUCCAGAACUGCCUUCGAUACUGGCGAUCUUGAGUCCGGAAGAGGUGAGUGGAACUCCUAGUGUAGAGGUGGAAUUCGUAGAUAUUAGGAAGAACACCAGUGGCGAAGGCGGCUCACUGGUCCGGUACUGACGCUGAGGUGCGAAAGCGUGGGGAGCAAACAGGAUUAGAAACCCGGGUAGUCC
Molecule: ribosomal RNA, 425 nt
Filed under: uncultured bacterium
Lineage: Bacteria
Description: partial 16S ribosomal RNA
Rfam family: Bacterial small subunit ribosomal RNA
Source: RNAcentral